RNAcentral lists this ribosomal RNA (253 nucleotides) under uncultured bacterium. RNAcentral describes it as "partial 16S ribosomal RNA". It matches the Rfam family "Bacterial small subunit ribosomal RNA", at positions 524 to 776 of the family's 1533-position model. The record is from RNAcentral.
UACGGAGGGUGCAAGCGUUGUUCGGAAUCACUGGGCGUAAAGGGCGUGUAGGCGGUCUAUCAAGUCUGGUGUGCAAUCCCCUCGCUCACUGAGGGAACUGCGUCGGAAACUGAUAGACUAGAGUACCGGAGAGGAAGGUGGAAUUCCCGGUGGAGCGGUGAAAUGCGUAGAUAUCGGGAGGAACACCGGUGGCGAAGGCGGCCUUCUGGACGGAUACUGACGCUGAGACGCGAAAGCGUGGGGAGCAAACAGG